This 254-nucleotide ribosomal RNA is filed under the name uncultured bacterium. Its description in RNAcentral is "partial 16S ribosomal RNA". It matches the Rfam family "Bacterial small subunit ribosomal RNA", at positions 524 to 776 of the family's 1533-position model. The record is from RNAcentral.
UACGGGGGGAGCAAGCGUUGUUCGGCUUUACUGGGCGUAAAGGGCGCGUAGGCGGCCACCGCAAGUCGGUUGUGAAAUCUCUGGGCUUAACCCAGAAAGGUCAACCGAUACUGCGGGGCUAGAGUGCAGAAGGGGCAACUGGAAUUCUCGGUGUAGCGGUGAAAUGCGUAGAUAUCGAGAGGAACCCCUGCGGCGAAGGCGGGUUGCUGGGCUGACACUGACGCUGAAGCGCGAAAGCUAGGGGAGCGAACGGG